GAUGAACGCUAGCUACAGGCUUAACACAUGCGAGUCGAGGGGAAACGGCAUUAAGUGCUUGCACUUUUUGGACGUCGACCGGCGCACGGGUGAGUAACGCGUAUCCAACCUUCCCAUGACUAAGGGAUAACCUGCCGAAAGGCAGACUAAUACCUUAUGGUCUUCACUGACGGCAUCAGAUGUGAAGUAAAGAUUUAUCGGUUAUGGAUGGGGAUGCGUCUGAUUAGCUUGUUGGCGGGGUAACGGCCCACCAAGGCAACGAUCAGUAGGGGUUCUGAGAGGAAGGUCCCCCACAUUGGAACUGAAACACGGACCAAACUCCUACGGGAGGCAGCAGUGAGGAAUAUUAGUCAAUGGGCGAGAGCCUGAACCAGCCAAGUAGCGUGCAGGAUGACGGCCCUAUGGGUUGUAAACUGCUUUUGUAUGGGGAUAAAGUCAAUCACGUGUGAUUGUUUGCAGGUACCAUACGAAUAAGGACCGGCUAAUUCCGUG
RNAcentral lists this ribosomal RNA (492 nucleotides) under uncultured bacterium. RNAcentral describes it as "partial 16S ribosomal RNA". It matches the Rfam family "Bacterial small subunit ribosomal RNA", at positions 28 to 507 of the family's 1533-position model. The record is from RNAcentral.